GAUUCCCUCAGUAGCUGCGAGCGAACAGGGAAGAGCCCAGCACCGAAUCCCGCGGCCGGCAUCGGACGCCGGGAAAUGUGGUGUUCGGGAGGGUCGCCAAUCCCGAGGUCAUGCGACGCGUCCAAGUCCUUCUUGAACGGGGCCACAGCCCAUAGAGGGUGCCAGGCCCGUAGUGGCCGUCGCUGAUCGCGGGACGAUCUCUCCUUAGAGUCGGGUUGCUUGAGAGUGCAGCCCUAAGUGGGUGGUAAACUCCAUCUAAGGCUAAAUAUGACCACGAGACCGAUAGCGAACAAGUACCGUGAGGGAAAGUUGAAAAGCACUUUGAAGAGAGAGUUCAAGAGUACGUGAAACCGUUUAGGGGUAAACCUGAGAAACCCGAAAGGUCGAAGGGAGAAAUUCAUCGCGUUUCGACGUCGAGGGCUUGCGGUCGAACGACGGAAGACGUUUCGGCGUCUUCCGCGGCUUCCGCUCGUCCAGUCGGCGACGAACGCGUGCACUUUUCUCCUGGUAGGACGUCGCGAUCCGUCGGGUGUCGGUCUAAGGCUCGCGGUGGAGCCCGUCGACGUUUUCAGCGUCGACGGACCC
RNAcentral lists this ribosomal RNA (585 nucleotides) under Trichobaris texana. Its description in RNAcentral is "LSU rRNA". It matches the Rfam family "Eukaryotic large subunit ribosomal RNA", at positions 73 to 515 of the family's 3401-position model. Lineage: Eukaryota; Metazoa; Arthropoda; Insecta; Coleoptera; Curculionidae. The record is from RNAcentral.